Molecule: long non-coding RNA, 641 nt
Organism: Pezoporus occidentalis (night parrot)
Lineage: Eukaryota; Metazoa; Chordata; Aves; Psittaciformes; Psittacidae
Exons: 3
Source: RefSeq, a predicted model, not a curated record
CCCAGGCUCAGCUGCUCUGAAAUGACCCCACUCCCUGGGAGGGGGCUGCAGGAUCCAACUAUCCGGGAGGCCAAACAAGGAACGCCUUUCUUGGCAAAGGAGAAAAGGACCUGGGAGGCCCCCUUCGCUCAGGUGACCCACCCGACCCCCAUUGCAAACAGCUAUAAAUCCUCCUGCUUCCCCACCACAGCAUUCCCGGGCACUCCUCUCACUGGAGCUGGGCCUGGCUCUGCAAAGCAUGUCACUGCUGGAUGGCCUUGGAAGGAAUGUUGUAAGUAACUUCACAGCUGAACAACAGUGGGAAUGGAAACCCUCAGAACUGAUGGCUGUGACAUUACAGGUCCUAAUCAGAGCAGAUACCCAUUCUCCACUCUACUGAGUAACUAAACUUCACACUGCUGGAAGGCUCCCUGUGUUGGGCUGUGCUAUGUUACACUGACAAACAUGCACAGCAUUUCCAAAGGACAGAAUUAUCCUGAGAGACUAACAUCACCAGUCAGCUUAAAAUUUGACUGAUCAUCUGUAACAGAGUCUCGCUAACUGGUUUUCACAGAUGAGUAAGAACAGAUACUGCUGGGGUUUUUAAUUGCUACCAUCAAGCUUAAUUGGAGGUUCAAGCUGAAUGAGUGUAAGUAUACAGA